CCGACGAAGGGCGGCCCGAGCGCGGCCCCGCUCCGCUCCUGUCCGCCUCCCGGGCAGACGGCGGCGGCGCGGCGGGGCGCGAUGGCGGCCGGGCUGGGGCCGUGGCUGCUGGCCUUGGCCUUGGGGCCGGCAGGUGCACUACUGAGAGAUGAAAUCCAAGCGAAGAAGUCUGCAGUGAUGGUACGAGCAGGGCAAACAGAGACCCUGCAAUGUACCUAUAACUCCAGUGCUUCCUAUAUUUACGUGGCCUGGUACCGGCAGCUUCCCAACAGGCCCCUGCAGUACUUGCUUCAGAGCAAGGGCCGGGGAGGCUCAUACAAACAUACGGCCCCUUCUGCCCGCCUGAGGUUUUCAUCCUGGGCUGAUGAGAGCUCUGGGACCCUAGUGAUCAGUGGGCUGGAGCUGGAAGACAGCGCACUCUAUUUCUGCUCUCUGCUGGGACCACAGUGAGAGACAGCCCUGGUUUACUCCAACAACAUCAACAUAGUUCACUGCUCCCUUCCCUAUUACCUAUUUGCAGCACAGCAAGAGCCAGGUGAUGAUAGGGACAGGAAGAAAGAGGCAGGAGCUGCAGGGAGCAGCAGAGGGGAUCAAGGUGGAGCUGAAAGGGGAAACAUGAGGCGAAAGAUUUCGAUGGGGGUUGUGAUCCUCAUACCGUGGUAGUGGAAGGAGGCCAAGGAGGGAUGUCAGUGCGGGGCUCGGAGAGCCCUCCUUUUUUGUGUGCAUGGGACUUCAGGCUGCAUCUCCACAUUUUUGCUGGCAAUAGCCUUCGGCUGGGGUGCAGCCAUGGGCAAAGCAGCAGACUCACAAGCACUAGCUAAGGUAGCCUUAACGGGGACAGGACAGGGGAGCCCGGAGACUUCUGGUAGAGCACAGGCCGUCUAGAUGGAGCUGUAACGAGGAGAAUGGAGUUAAAGGCUUACAGUCUGAUUUCUGCACGAUGCCACGUCAGGGGAGAGGAGGGAGGCCAUCGGGGAAGGCACGUGCAGGGAGAGGCUGCGGGCCGAGAGCCGUGCGUGGGGGCAGCCGCGCUGUGUCCGGCCUCGGCCCGGGCCCGUCGUGCACGGAGGGCUGCGCGGGGAUCAGCCCAGGGCCCGGAGCCUCCGAGUGCCGGGGCGCCGCGCUCCGCCUCUGCCCCCCGCGCUGCCCCGCGCCCCGCCCCGCGCCCGCCCCGUCCUCCGCCGAAGGGGCCGCGGGGC
Molecule: non-coding RNA, 1199 nt
Organism: Meleagris gallopavo (turkey)
Lineage: Eukaryota; Metazoa; Chordata; Aves; Galliformes; Phasianidae
Source: the annotation of a RefSeq genome assembly